GACGAACGCUGGCGGCGUGGAUUAGGCAUGCAAGUCGAACGGUAUCAUCCUUUCGGGGGUGAGAGAGUGGCGAACUGGUGAGUAACACGUAGGUUAUCUACCCUCAAGACGGGGACAACCCAGGGAAACUUGGGCUAAUACCGGAUGUGAGCAACUUUUAGUUGUUUGAAAGGUGGUGUAAGCUGUCGCUUGGGGAUGAGCCUGCGUCCUAUUAGUUAGUUGGUGAGGUAACGGCUCACCUAGGCAAUGAUAGGUAGGCGGCCUUAACGGGUGGUCGCCCACACUGGGAUUGGAGAUACGGCCCAGACUCCUACGGGAGGCAGCAGUCGAGAAUAGUCUACAAUGGUCGGAAGACUGAUAGUGCGACGCCGCGUGAACGAUGAAUCCCUUCGGGGUGUAAAGUUCUUUUAUAUGUGAGCAGUGCUUCUUAUAUUAACAGUAUGGGGAAGAGAUAUUAGCAUAUGAAUAAGCAACGGCUAACUCCGUGCCAGCAGCCCGCGGUAAAA
Molecule: ribosomal RNA, 506 nt
Filed under: uncultured bacterium
Lineage: Bacteria
Description: bacterial SSU rRNA
Rfam family: Bacterial small subunit ribosomal RNA
Source: RNAcentral